RNAcentral lists this ribosomal RNA (498 nucleotides) under uncultured bacterium. RNAcentral describes it as "partial 16S ribosomal RNA". It matches the Rfam family "Bacterial small subunit ribosomal RNA", at positions 28 to 508 of the family's 1533-position model. The record is from RNAcentral.
GAUGAACGCUGGCGGCGUGCCUAAUACAUGCAAGUCGAGCGAACAGACGAGGAGCUUGCUCCUCUGACGUUAGCGGCGGACGGGUGAGUAACACGUGGAUAACCUACCUAUAAGACUGGGAUAACUUCGGGAAACCGGAGCUAAUACCGGAUAAUAUAUUGAACCGCAUGGUUCAAUAGUGAAAGACGGUUUUGCUGUCACUUAUAGAUGGAUCCGCGCCGCAUUAGCUAGUUGGUAAGGUAACGGCUUACCAAGGCAACGAUGCGUAGCCGACCUGAGAGGGGGAGCGGCCACACUGGAACUGAGACACGGUCCAGACGCCUACGGGAGGCAGCAGUAGGGAAUCUUCCGCAAGGGGCGAAAGCCUGACGGAGCAACGCCGCGUGAGUGAUGAAGGGCUUCGGAUCGUAAAACUCUGUUAUUAGGGAAGAACAAAUGUGUAAGUAACUAUGCACGUCUUGACGGUACCUAAUCAGAAAGCCACGGCUAACUACGUGC